GCCAGGCAUGGUGGUGCACACCUGUAAUCCCAGCUACCUUGGGAGGCUGAAGCAGGAGGAUCACAAGUUGGAGGCUAGCCUCUGCAACUUAGUGAAAUUCUGUCUCUA
This 108-nucleotide small RNA is filed under the name Marmota monax (woodchuck). Lineage: Eukaryota; Metazoa; Chordata; Mammalia; Rodentia; Sciuridae. The record is from RNAcentral.